RNAcentral lists this unclassified non-coding RNA (351 nucleotides) under soil metagenome. RNAcentral describes it as "partial contains 5.8S ribosomal RNA, internal transcribed spacer 2, and large subunit ribosomal RNA". The stretch from base 1 to 120 matches the Rfam family "5.8S ribosomal RNA", at positions 35 to 154 of the family's 154-position model. The record is from RNAcentral.
GAUGAAGAACGUAGCGAAAUGCGAUAAGUAAUGUGAAUUGCAGAAUUCAGUGAAUCAUCGAAUCUUUGAACGCACAUUGCGCCCGCCAGUAUUCUGGCGGGCAUGCCUGUUCGAGCGUCAUUACAACCCUCAGGCCCCCGGGCCUGGCGUUGGGGAUCGGCGGAGCCCCCCGUGGGCACACGCCGUCCCCCAAAUACAGUGGCGGUCCCGCCGCAGCUUCCAUCGCGUAGUAGCUAACACCUCGCGACUGGAGAGCGGCGCGGCCACGCCGUAAAACACCCAACUCUUCUGAAGUUACCUCGAAUCAGGUAGGAAUACCCGCUGAACUUAAGCAUAUCAAUAAGCGGAGGA